Rhinolophus ferrumequinum (greater horseshoe bat) is the source of this 451-nucleotide long non-coding RNA. RefSeq lists it as uncharacterized. The record is from RefSeq and is a predicted model, not a curated record. The transcript has 3 exons. NCBI's taxonomy places the organism in Eukaryota, Metazoa, Chordata, Mammalia, Chiroptera, Rhinolophidae.
GUUCAGGGAAGGCUUUGGGAUGGCAGCACAUCAGCCAUUCUCCUCCUGUUCUUUUGGGAGCUGGCUGUGUAGAUUGGGCCUGUGGUCUCCUGCCUUGCGGAAUCAUGGCUUCCUGUGCGAUGCAGUCACGUGGUCCUGGCUUCUGUGCACUGUGCAGCGGACAUGGGUUGACAAUAAGAUGAAUUAGGGUCUCAAGAGAAGUGGUUUCUGGCUGGCAGCUGGGGACACAUGAAAAAUGUGCAUGGCCUUCUGCAUACUCUGCAAGUUGGUGAAUGUGAAAUAUAAAACUCCUUUCCUUACAGAGUCAUAGCUUCCGCUUGCCUCUCUCACCCGAAUACAGGUAGCUAUUAUUAUCUCUGCAGGAAGUGUUUUUAAAAAUUUGUAUUUUGUGAAAUUAGACCACUUUCUUAUACCACAUACAAGAAUAAACUCAAAAUGGAUUAAAGACUUA